GUUCCAUGAAGCGGCAACAGCCUUCUAAGCUGUGGGUCGGGAGUUCGAAUCUCUCCUGGGACG
Molecule: non-coding RNA, 63 nt
Organism: Bacillus sp. VT-16-64
Lineage: Bacteria; Bacillati; Bacillota; Bacilli; Caryophanales; Bacillaceae
Source: Rfam